AUCAGAACCUGCAGAACCUCCUGGUUCUGUUCGGAGCGUCGGGAUUGUCCUCUGAGAUUCACGUCGUUCUCAUCCCCCAUGGUUUCAGCAUCAGAGUGUUUGACCUGCAGGGAGAUUUUUUUAGCCGAGACGUUGAAGCAGCACCUGUUGUCACAGUUUUCCUGCCACCUGAAAGAGCCGGACCAGAACCGCUGCGCUGGCCUCUCAACGCGCUAUAUCAGGACAGAUGAUGGGGAAAUGUGUGUGUGGGCGCUGUUGCCAUGGCAGCGUGCCUCCGCCGGCUGCACACACACCGCCACCGAGUCGCUGAAGCGCUCGGACUCUCGUGGCGUCAGCGGCGCUGAUUCACAUUUCUUAAAGUUAAUGGAUCAGUUCAGACGUCAAGAUGGCCGCCGUCAGGGAAACGGCAGCAGGAGAGAGAGAGCAAAUGUUCAGGCUGGACUAUAUUUAGCUACAAACAGGCAGAACUCGGACAGAAAACCCAAAAUAUCAGCUUCACAAAGUCUGAAAUGAUUCAACAGGAAUGUAUCAUAACUGAGAAAUAUCAAAACACAAACUGAGCAGGAAACUAGAAACUCUGAACGCAGCGAUCCACUUUUACCUCUUCUGAUACCUGAGCAUCGAACAGAACCGAUCAGAACAGCUGAACUGAUUUUAAAUGUUUCUUUUAUUAAACUGGAACAUAAAUGAACUGAAUUACUAAUUUAAUUAAUAACUCUGCAUCAGUGAACAAUUAAUUACAAGCUAUUGAUUAAACAUGUCAAACUUUAA
This is a long non-coding RNA of Xiphophorus couchianus (Monterrey platyfish), 771 nucleotides long. RefSeq lists it as uncharacterized. The record is from RefSeq and is a predicted model, not a curated record. Lineage: Eukaryota; Metazoa; Chordata; Actinopteri; Cyprinodontiformes; Poeciliidae. The transcript is spliced from 2 exons.